GCAUCUGAAAAUUCAGGUGCCGGGUUUGAGACCCCGCCGAAGUAACCGCGACAAGAUGACACGCCGCGAGCGUGUUUUUU
RNAcentral lists this small RNA (80 nucleotides) under Sodalis sp. TME1. RNAcentral describes it as "isrK Hfq binding RNA". It matches the Rfam family "isrK Hfq binding RNA". The record is from Rfam by way of RNAcentral. Lineage: Bacteria; Pseudomonadati; Pseudomonadota; Gammaproteobacteria; Enterobacterales; Bruguierivoracaceae.